UUUUUGGUCUAAUUUCUUGUUUCACAGGAAAACAUAUUUUGAAUCUUCAAAGUGGUAGGCAUGUUGUGCAAAUCAAAUGAUACAACCCCCCCUAAAAGACUAUUCCAGGUUGUAAGGCAAAAUAGUGGAAAAUGCAAAGGGGGGUGAAUACUUUAUCAAUCCACUGUAUAGGUCAUUAUAAUUACUAUCAUAAUAAUUUAUUUAAGAAGUUUUGCAAAUCAUAUGUGAAAAAAAGGGAAGAAAAUUGACACCAUUUCUCAAUUAUCUUUCUGCCAAAGAAUGGGUUCCCAACUUGAGAUACAAAUCAAUCAAUCAUUCAUUUAUUUAUUCAUUCAAACAGCUACAUGGAUGACAGGACCAAUAAAGUAAUUGAAGCUGAUGUGAUCCAGGUCACUGACGCCACCAGUUCAGUGGCGAUUGAGUCAGUUGGAUUUCAGAGAAGGUUGAACAGCAUUCUGACAGAGGGUCUACCUGUAUCAACUACUGAUCGGUAACCAUCAAUCAGAAAAAGUCAUGCGAGAAGAGUACCCUACUAUCCAACAUGAGCUGGAUUGCUGGCAUGUUUCAAAGGGAAUAAAACUCAUAUGGAAGUCUCUUCUACCUACCACGUACAAUUGGACUGAAAAUGGAGUGCAGUACAGCUGCUCCCAUGAAGACGCCUCAGAAGACAAGCAGAGAUGGAAGAGGUGGAAAUCCAGUACAACUGGGGACAAUUUGUCUUUCUUCCCCCAGGGGAGCUUGAGUCGUACCACAGUAGCAUGCUCAAGUACACUCGGAAGCGACUGCAUUUUCGUCCCCUCUCCAUGGUCCCGAGAACCCAACUGGCUAUAAUGGACCACAAUGAAAAAUUGGGCAGGAAACAACCUACAACUGCCACAGAACCUGAGCCCUAGGACCAUACGUCAGGACUACCGGGCAUGCUGACACCUUGCUGUCCCCAGUCCGCCCGGCCUUGCUGCUAUUCCAGUUUCAACUGUUUCUGCCUGCGGUUACGAAACCCCCACCUGUCCCAGACCUGCUGUUUUCAACUCUUAAUGAUCGGCUAUGAAAAGCCAACUGAGAUUUAUUCCUGAUUAUUAUUUGACCAUGCUUGUCAUUUAUGAACAUUUUGAAAAUCUUGGCUCUCUCUAAUUUUCUCCUUCUCUCUUUCUUUCUCUCGGAGGACCUGAGCCCUAGGACCAUACGUCGGGACUACCGGCCAUGGUGACUCCUUGCUGCCCUCAGUCCGCCUGGCCUUGCUGCUAUUCCAGUUUCAACUCUUCUGCCUGCGGUUAUGGAACCCCUACCUGUCCCAGACCUGCUGUUUUCAACUCUUAAUGAUCGGCUAUGAAAAGCCAACUGAGAUUUAUUCCUGAUUAUUAUUUGACCAUGCUUGUCAUUUAUGAACAUUUUGAAAAUCUUGGCUCUCUCUAAUUUUCUCCUUCUCUCUUUCUUUCUCUCGGAGGACCUGGGCCCUAGGACCAUGCGUCGGGACUGCCGCCCGUGGUGACUCCUUGCUGUCCCCAGUCCGCCUGGCCUUGCUGCUAUUCCAGUUUCAGCUGUUCUGCCUGCGGUUAUGGAACCGCCACCUGUCCCAGACCUGUUGUUUUUCAACUCUUAAUGAUCAGCUAUGAAAAGCCAACUGAAAAUUAUUCAUGAUUAUUAUUUGACCAUGCUUGUCACUUAUGAACAUUUUUGAACAUCUUGGCAUAGUUCUGUUAUAAUCUCCACCCGGCACAGCCAGAAGAGGACUGGCCACCCCUCAUAGCCUGGUUCCUCUCUAGGUUUCUUCCUAGGUUUUGGCCUUUCUAGGGAGUUUUUCCUAGCCACCGUGCUUCUACACCUGCAUUCUAGCUGUUUGGGGUUUUAGGCUGGGUUUCUGUACAGCACUUCGAGAUAUUAUCUGAUGUACGAAGGGCUAUAUAAAAUAAAAUUGAUUGAUUGAUUGAUUGAUUGAUGAUCUUCAUAUGUUUGCAGUCACAAGAUUCCAUGUUACACAAUAAAUGUUUGUUUUGUUCGAUAAAGUCCCUCUUUAUGUCCCAAAAACUCAAUUUUGUUGGCGCGUUUUGUUCAGUA
This is a long non-coding RNA of Salvelinus fontinalis (brook trout), 2055 nucleotides long. RefSeq lists it as uncharacterized. The transcript has 5 exons. Lineage: Eukaryota; Metazoa; Chordata; Actinopteri; Salmoniformes; Salmonidae. The record is from RefSeq and is a predicted model, not a curated record.